RNAcentral lists this ribosomal RNA (462 nucleotides) under uncultured bacterium. RNAcentral's name for it is "partial 16S ribosomal RNA". It matches the Rfam family "Bacterial small subunit ribosomal RNA", at positions 28 to 507 of the family's 1533-position model. The record is from RNAcentral.
GACGAACGCUGGCGGCGUGCUUAACACAUGCAAGUCGAACGGUGAAGCCCUUCGGGGUGGAUCAGUGGCGAACGGGUGAGUAGCACGUGAGCAACCUGCCCCUGGUUCUGGGACAACCACUGGAAACGGUGGCUAAUACCGGAUACGACCCGCCUCGGCAUCGAGUGUGGGUGGAAAGUUUUUCGGCUGGGGAUGGGCUCGCGGCCUAUCAGCUUGUUGGUGAGGUGAAGGCUCACCAAGGCGACGACGGGUAGCCGGCCUGAGAGGGCGACCGGCCACACUGGGACUGAGACACGGCCCAGACUCCUACGGGAGGCAGCAGUGGGGAAUAUUGCACAAUGGGCGAAAGCCUGAUGCAGCGACGCCGCGUGAGGGAUGACGGCCUUCGGGUUGUAAACCUCUUUCAGCUCCGAAGAAGCGAAAGUGACGGUAGGAGCAGAAGAAGCACCGGCUAACUACGUG